This is a long non-coding RNA of Oreochromis aureus, 3698 nucleotides long. The record is from Ensembl. Lineage: Eukaryota; Metazoa; Chordata; Actinopteri; Cichliformes; Cichlidae.
GAAAAUCCCUCAAUGCUCAACCUUUCACAAACCAAGAGGAGUGUCAGUUUUCAUCAGCAUUUCUCCGGGAAGGAGACAAGCAGAGGACUAGCCCCUCAACCCUGGACCUGGACCCACUGAAAUUUGCCAGGGAUUGGCAGAUGCAAGUGGUCUUGGAUCACAGGCUAAUUUUUCCCACAGAGAUCAUAACAACUACUCUGCGACCAGACCUCUUCCUUUGGUCUAACUCCCCAAAACUUGUGUACAUCAUUGAGCUGAUGGUACCAUGGGAGGAUGCAACUGAGGAAGCAAGCAUUAAGAAUCUGUGGUAUGCCGACUUGGCAGCUGAGGCAGAGGACAGAGGCUGGAAGAUCAAGGUGCGCUCCGUGCAAGUGGGGUGCAGGGGCUUUGUUGCCAGUACAACAGCAAAACUGCUUAGAGAGAGUGGGAUCAGAGGACAGGCGCAACGACAGGCUAUAAGAGAUUUAGCUAACAAUGUCGGGAGGACCAGUCGCCGGCUGUGGCUAAAGAGGGCUGACAUCACUUGGGCUGCGAAGGCAGUCAGCUAACCGUAAGACACACGCCCAGGAUUGAUUAACCCGUGGUGGGUUUGCCUUAGUAGAGGACGUCAAAAGGGUAGAAAACCUAACAUUAGAAAUUUUGCUGGUUGACUGAUACAGCUGUCUCAGGGCCUCCUGGGCAGUUAACCUCAUGGUAGUAAAACCUAAAGGAGGAAUGAAAGAAAAAAAGAAAAGGAAAAAGGUUCCCUUCCUCUCCCCUCUGCUCUUCUUCCCUUUUCUGGGAGGUAGAGCGUACAGCGCAAUCUGGUGGGGAGGUGCGGGAUGCCAGAUCAGAUGCCCCCCUUCUGGCUCUCCUCUCUGCUCUCUAAUAUCUUGUCCUUUUCACUUACUUCUCUCUCUCACCUUUUCUGUCCAUUUGAAGAAGUUAGGCUGUUAAAGAGGUAAGUAUUACUUCUCAGUUGCAGUGAACAGAUAGAAGAAAUUAAACUGCAGAAAACUAAACAGAUGAAAGUAGAAGAGAAAGAACUUAACAUAAACCAGUGACACACUCGGGGGCCUGAUUAACCCUGGCAGGGCCUCCUUGGAUGAGGGUGUCUAGUGAUGAUAGCAAAAAAAAACCCGAUGAAUCCAAGGUCCAUUACUGAAGAUGUGACCCAAAUUUAAAAUGAUAAUGUAUAUCUGAUCUCUAAUCCCUAAACCUAACCAAGGAAGGAAAAAAAUGGUAGAUUAGCUUGGAUAAAAGACCAAAACACUCUGUGAAGGCACACAACAAUGGGACCCACUGGUAAAGUUUCUGGGCUGCCUUUCCUCAUAACAGCCACCCCUCAAGAUUUUCUCCACUUAAAGCAAUGCAUUAUCAGUGAUUGUAGCAUCUAUUCCUUUAACUGAAUGUACCACACCAGGCAAGACCCCAGGUCCAGGCUGUGUAAAGAUGCCCUUGAGGCAAUCCAGGACAUAACAGCAGGAUGCUAGAUGCUAGCAGGAAGGCCAUGCAUGCAACUCUAUAACCAAUCGGCUGGCAUAGUAUAUGGGAAAUCUGUCAGGAGUAUUACUUGGAAAUCCUGAGGUCAAAAUGGGACUCACCCCCUAGGGUAGUUGAGAAUGGUCGAGUUAAGAUCCUGUAGGACUUUCAGAUACACACAGAGAAACUGGUGAUGACUAACUAAUGGACAUGAUAGUAUUGGACAAGGAGAGGAAGAUGACCAUAGUGAUAGAUAUUGCUGUACUGAAUGAGAGCAACAUCAAGAAGAAGGAACAUGAGAAGCUGGAAAAGUACCAAGGGCUGAGGGAAGAACUCAAGAAGAUGUGGAGGGUUAAUGUCCCACACUCGGUGCAGUGACCAGCAAGCUGGGAGAGUGGCUCUAGCAGAUCUCAGGAACAAUACUCGAAUCUUGUGUCCAGAAUAGCUCAGUCCUAGAAACAGCAAACAUACUGCACAGGACCCUCAAGUUCCCAGCCCUCUGGUAGAGGACCCGAGUUUGAAGGAUAAAGACUGCCCACAGGGCGAGAGGGGAACUUUUUAUGCAAAGUCAUGAUGUAGAUUUCCCAACGAAGUCUAAAUCAAGUUUAACUUUCUCUGUCACUACUUAAUGGAUGAAAAGGCAUUUCAUGGCAUGCUGCAAGGGGCAACAAAGAGCAUUGCAACAUUUUGAGCAAGUGUAAGAGUGUAAGUGAACCCAAGUGGUAAUAGCUUAUUUUUUAAGUAAGUGUGCUUAUAAUUAAAGUUGCUAUCAGAUUAUUCCAAACAAUAAAACAUUGUUAGUACUUUACAUCAAACCCAACACCCCAACUACUUUGGUCCAAACUUGGGUACCAAGUUUUGGACACAUUAUAGAGCAUAGGGACGCUACAAUUAGACAGUUAAAAAUACAUUUUUAAGUUUGACUUUUGUAAGUAGCUGUAGCUUUUCACAGCCUUUUUUUUUUCCAUUUCUUAACACCUCUGCUGAGAACAAAAAGUGACUACAUGUAACUGGUAGGUGCUUAUGUGAACAGGGAAGGUGCCCAACCACAGAGCUGCCACCUCUUUUACUGCAAACUGAAACUUCACCACAGAGAACAAAGGAAAUAUGUUCUCACAACAACACUGCAAUUGGCCAAACCAGAACAGUGUGGUAGGAAGUACCAUCAGCUUCUGAUUACAGGACGUAGCUGCUGCGGUUUUACUCACAGAACUUUUUGAGCAGUUAAAAAGAUUCAUUGUAAUACAUUUGUCUAUUUAUACACUUCAUACUCAUAUGUAUUGAUAUUCACAUUGCUAAUAACUUGUCUGUAUGAAACCCAGAUAGCAAUUCUAUUCUAUUCUAUUGAAUUCAAUUUUAUACAAAUAGAACCAAAUCAGAGCAGUCCCCACAAGUCAAUUUAUAUUGAAAGGUAAAGAUCCUACAGGAAUUCAUAGAAAAUUCCAACAAUCAAAUGAUCCCCCACUUGGUGACAGUGAGAAGGAAAAACUCUAGUUGGAGGUGAGUGGAGGAAGAUAAGACAAAAGACACACUUUAGCUUAAUCAGAGCUGAAUUUGGGACUACCAAAAAGUUGCAACACACUUGACAAUGUUACGGAUGUAAGGUGUACUUUUGGCUGAGUCUAUAUUAUUAGUUAAGGACAAGCUUGGCCACACUUAUUAGUUUUGAUAAUGGUCAGUCUUAUCAAAUGAGGUCUUAUUGUUGUUAGGUCUUAUUUGUGGAAUUUCUUGUAGCCUACAUUUUUUAUAUUUAACAAACAAUCUGCAUAGGUAAAAGGAAUAUUUUUCUAAUGUACCUUGAAUCAACCCACAACACAAGACCAAUUUUAAAAAUAUCUCUAAAUCUUAUUUGUUUUAGAUUUAUUUUGUUUGUUUUGUUUUAUUAUGUCUACAUGAAAAAUGUUAGUAAAUUGAAUUCUGAAUUUUCUCACCAGGAGAUGGUCGCUCCUGUAGCCACUUCUGUAAUUCUUGUUUUAAAAUGCACUUUAAGUAAAUCUGUCCUGGAUAAUCUGGAUUGUCAGGUUUUUCAAAAUGCUGCUGUUACCUGUUAACUGGGUCACACAGAAUCAAAACACCACAGACGGAGACAAAGAAGAGCAGCUGUACCUCUUGUCUUUGAUCUGGUUUUCUUCUCUUUGAUGAUGAUUCGACCAUAACUGACAUCUUCUGUUCUUACUGCAGAGUAGACUGCUGCUGGAUCACUCUCUGAACAAUAACACACAAUGUUGGUGUUGAAU